RNAcentral lists this ribosomal RNA (1747 nucleotides) under Durio zibethinus. Its description in RNAcentral is "SSU rRNA". It matches the Rfam family "Eukaryotic small subunit ribosomal RNA". Lineage: Eukaryota; Viridiplantae; Streptophyta; Magnoliopsida; Malvales; Malvaceae. The record is from RNAcentral.
CCUAGUUAAUCUUACCAAUAGUCAUAUACUUGUCUCUAAGAUUAAGCUAUGCAUGUGUAAGUGUGAACUAAUUCAAACUAUGAAACUAUGAAUGUCUCAUUAAAUCAGUUAUAGUCUGUUUAAUGGUAUCUACUAAUCAAAUAACCAUAGUAAUUCUAGAGGUAAUACAUACAACAAACCUUGACUUUUGGAAGGGAUGCAUUUAUUAGAUAAAAGGUUGACACGGGCUUUGCCUAUUGCUUUGAUGACUAAUGAUAACUCGACGGAUCACAUGACUUUUAUGUUGGUGGUGCAUCAUUCAAAUUUCUAUCUUAUCAACUUUCGAUGAUAGGAUAAUGGCCUACUAUGGUGGUAACAGAUGAUGGAGAAUUAGGCUUUAAUUCCAGAGAGAAAGCUUAAGAAACGAUUACCACAUCAAAAGAAGGUAGGCACACAAUUUACCUAAUCUUGACACAAGGAGAUAGUGGCAAUAAAUAACAAUACUAGGCUCCAUGAGUCUGAAAAUUAGAAUGAGUAUAAUCUAAAUCCUUUAAAGAGGAUCCAUUAGAGGGUAAGUCUAGGGCCAACAACUACGGUAAUUCCAACUCCAAUAUCAUAUAUUUAAGUUAUUGCAGUUAAAAAGCUCAUAGUUGGAACUAGGGUUAGGUCGUCCAGUCUACUUCAUGAUGAGCACUGGUCAAGUUAUCCCUACCAUCGAUGAUAUGUUCUUGGCCUUAGCUAGGUAGGUUAAUCCUUUGGCACUGUUAUUUUAAAGAAAUUAGAGUGCUUAAAGUAGGUCUAUGCUUGUAUACAUAGCAUGGGAUAACAUCAUAGGAUUUUGAUUCUUUUGUGUUGGCCUUCGGGAUCGAAGCAAUGAUUAAUAGGGACAGUUGAGGGCAUUUAUAUUUCAUAGUCAAAGGUGAAUUUCUUGGAUUUUUGAAAGAUGAACAAUUGUGAAAAUAUUUGCCAAGGUUGUUUUCAUUAAUCAAGAUUGAAAGGUAAGGGCUAAAAGACAAUUAGAUACUAUCCUAGUCUCAACCAUAAACGGUACCGACCAGGGAUCAACAGAUGUUACUUUUAGAACUCUACUAGCACCUUAUGAGAAAUCAAAGCCUUUGGGUUUCGAGGGGUGUAUGGUUGCAAGUCUGAAACUUAAAGGAAUUGACAAAAGGGCACCACUAAGAGUGGAGCCUAUGGCUAAAUUUCACUCAACAUGAGAAAACUUACUAGCUCCAAACAUAGUAAGGAUUGACAAACUGGGAGCUCUUUCUUGAUUCUAUGAGUGGUGGUGCAUGGUUGUUCUUAGUUGGUGGAGCAAUUUGUUUGGUUAAUUCCAUUAACGAGCAAGACCUAAGGCUACUAACUAGGUGAUCCUUCGUGGCUAGCUUCUUAGAGGGACUAUGGCCACUUAGGCCAAGGAAGUUUGAGGUAAUAACAAGUCUGUGAUGCCCUUAGAUAUUCUUAGCUAGAUGCAAGCUACACUGAUAUAUUCAAUGAGUUUAUAGACUUGGCUGAUAGGCCCAGGUAAUCUUUGAAAUUUUUUCAUGAUGGAGAGAGAUCAUUGUAAUUAUUGGUCUUCAAUGAGGAAUUCCUCAUAAGUGUGAGUCAUCAACUAAUGUUGACUACCGAUUGAAUGGUCCGAUGAAGUGUUCAAAUCACGAUGACUUAGAUGGUUUGCUGCCCGCGACACUAUUAGAAGUUCUUUAAAUCUUAACAUGUAGAGGAAGAAAAAGUCAUAACAAGGUUUUCAUUGGUGAACUUGUGGAAG